RNAcentral lists this ribosomal RNA (504 nucleotides) under uncultured bacterium. RNAcentral describes it as "partial 16S ribosomal RNA". It matches the Rfam family "Bacterial small subunit ribosomal RNA", at positions 30 to 523 of the family's 1533-position model. The record is from RNAcentral.
AUUGAACGCUGGCGGCAGGCCUAACACAUGCAAGUCGGACGGUAGCACAGAGAGCUUGCUCUCGGGUGACGAGUGGCGGACGGGUGAGUAAUGUCUGGGGAACUGCCCGAUGGAGGGGGAUAACUACUGGAAACGGUAGCUAAUACCGCAUAACGUCUUCGGACCAAAGUGGGGGACCUUCGGGCCUCACACCAUCGGAUGUGCCCAGAUGGGAUUAGCUAGUAGGUGGGGUAAUGGCUCACCUAGGCGACGAUCCCUAGCUGGUCUGAGAGGAUGACCAGCCACACUGGAACUGAGACACGGUCCAGACUCCUACGGGAGGCAGCAGUGGGGAAUAUUGCACAAUGGGCGCAAGCCUGAUGCAGCCAUGCCGCGUGUAUGAAGAAGGCCUUCGGGUUGUAAAGUACUUUCAGCGGGGAGGAAGGCGAUGUGGUUAAUAACCUUGUCGAUUGACGUUACCCGCAGAAGAAGCACCGGCUAACUCCGUGCCAGCCGCCGCGGUAA